UGGCGGCCCGCCUGCAAGCUUGGUGAUAGGCAACAAAAUCACACGGUCGUGUAGUGCGUUGCCUAUGCACCAGGCGCCUAGUGCCGAGGCCGCCGAGGCAGAGAGCGCGAGACGAGUGCAUCUGCAUCACGAGUGCAGUGCAACUGCAACGUGAGAGCGAAACGAGUGCGUGUGGUGAGUGCGCGGCGACACGCGCGACCUGGUGAACGAGAGCAUGUACGCCAAGCCAACCGACCGCAUUCAAACGAAAGAUGCUACCGCGGCCGCUUCGUCUGCGCAGGUGAGAGUCACGUGACGUCAGUUUUGCCGAUGAGCCAUUGUUUUGACGCUUCUAGCAGACGACUGCGACGACUAGCCUGACGCUUGGCUAAAGCAACCGUGCUUUGACUAAAGCAGAAACUUUCGUUUUACUCCUUAACAACACGCCAACUUAUGAGUGGUGAUCAUGCUUGGCCUAAGAAGUUUUGGAUUAACACUUGACCCUCGAGCCACAUCAAGCUUGUGCCAGGACACUUCUCCGCCCCAUUAGGCUAUGGGGGAAAGCCAUCAAAUCCAGGAAUUGCGGUGAAUUGAUGGUGCUGUGAGCUGCUGCUCUUUCGCUGGGAGGCAUUUAUAGUGCAACCACUAGCUCCAUGGCAUUGACUAUGCUACCGUUGGUUAAAGCAGAAAACGUCUAUCAGCAUAUUAAAAUCGAGGUUGGCUAAAGAAGAAUUCCAUUCUUGUCUUCCACUAAAUGGUGUUAUCUGUGUUAAUAAUGGUGCCAUCUGAAUAAUGCAUUGUAAGUUAAAUGGAAGUAAAUUUUCUAUUGAGUAA
This is a long non-coding RNA of Frankliniella occidentalis (western flower thrips), 813 nucleotides long. RefSeq lists it as uncharacterized. NCBI's taxonomy places the organism in Eukaryota, Metazoa, Arthropoda, Insecta, Thysanoptera, Thripidae. The transcript has 3 exons. The record is from RefSeq and is a predicted model, not a curated record.